UACGUAGGGUGCAAGCGUUGUCCGGAAUUAUUGGGCGUAAAGAGCUCGUAGGCGGUUUGUCGCGUCUGCUGUGAAAUCCCGAGGCUCAACCUCGGGCCUGCAGUGGGUACGGGCAGACUGGAGUGCGGUAGGGGAGAAUGGAAUUCCUGGUGUAGCGGUGGAAUGCGCAGAUAUCAGGAGGAACACCGAUGGCGAAGGCAGUUCUCUGGGCCGUAACUGACGCUGAGACGCGAAAGCGUGGGGAGCAAACAGG
Molecule: ribosomal RNA, 253 nt
Filed under: uncultured bacterium
Lineage: Bacteria
Description: partial 16S ribosomal RNA
Rfam family: Bacterial small subunit ribosomal RNA
Source: RNAcentral